UCGCUACUACCGAUUGAAUGGCUUAGUGAGACCCUCGGAUUGACAAUUUUUUGUUGGCAACGACAAGAAGUUAUUGAGAAGUUGGUCAAACUUGGUCAUUUAGAGGAAGUAA
This 112-nucleotide ribosomal RNA is filed under the name uncultured eukaryote. RNAcentral's name for it is "partial small subunit ribosomal RNA". It matches the Rfam family "Eukaryotic small subunit ribosomal RNA", at positions 1676 to 1785 of the family's 1831-position model. The record is from RNAcentral.